Molecule: ribosomal RNA, 484 nt
Filed under: uncultured bacterium
Lineage: Bacteria
Description: partial 16S ribosomal RNA
Rfam family: Bacterial small subunit ribosomal RNA
Source: RNAcentral
AUUGAACGCUGGCGGAAUGCUUUACACAUGCAAGUCGAACGAUGAACCUUAGCUUGCUCCGGGGAUUAGUGGCGAACGGGUGAGUAAUAUAUCGGAACGUGCCUUGUAAUGGGGGAUAACUAGUCGAAAGAUUAGCUAAUACCGCAUACGCCCUGAGGGGGAAAGUAGGGGAUCUUCGGACCUUACGUUAUAAGAGCGGCCGAUAUCUGAUUAGCUAGUUGGUGGGGUAAUGGCCUACCAAGGCGACGAUCAGUAGCUGGUCUGAGAGGACGACCAGCCACACUGGAACUGAGACACGGUCCAGACUCCUACGGGAGGCAGCAGUGGGGAAUUUUGGACAAUGGGCGCAAGCCUGAUCCAGCCAUUCCGCGUGAGUGAAGAAGGCCUUCGGGUUGUAAAGCUCUUUCGCAAGGGAAGAAAACUUACCAUCGAAUAAAUGGUGAGGCUGACGGUACCUUGAUAAGAAGCACCGGCUAACUACGUG